CUCAAACCAUCUGUCUGCCACUUUCUAAGGAGUUUUACUUCCACCCAGUCUAUCAAACAAGAAAGAUGAGCAGAGUUCCAAAUCCUCUGAGGAUUACAUCACUGCAAAUGAUGAGGCUUUGGGAAGACUGCCUGCCCUCAUCCCCUAAAAUCUGUCUUGGGAGGAUUUUCGUAAUCUCUCUGAAAUCCUGGAUUUCCAGAACUCUUCACGGAACUCA
RNAcentral lists this long non-coding RNA (217 nucleotides) under Gallus gallus (chicken). The record is from RNAcentral. Lineage: Eukaryota; Metazoa; Chordata; Aves; Galliformes; Phasianidae.